UGAGCCAUCUGGGAGGUGUCUGUGCC
This 26-nucleotide non-coding RNA is filed under the name Rattus norvegicus (Norway rat). Lineage: Eukaryota; Metazoa; Chordata; Mammalia; Rodentia; Muridae. The record is from RNAcentral.